RNAcentral lists this ribosomal RNA (255 nucleotides) under uncultured bacterium. RNAcentral describes it as "partial 16S ribosomal RNA". It matches the Rfam family "Bacterial small subunit ribosomal RNA", at positions 524 to 777 of the family's 1533-position model. The record is from RNAcentral.
UACGAAGGGGGGCUAGCGUUGCUCGGAAUCACUGGGCGUAAAGGGUGCGUAGGCGGGUCUUUAAGUCAGGGGUGAAAUCCUGGAGCUCAACUCCAGAACUGCCUUUGAUACUGAAGAUCUUGAGUUCGGGAGAGGUGAGUGGAACUGCGAGUGUAGAGGUGAAAUUCGUAGAUAUUCGCAAGAACACCAGUGGCGAAGGCGGCUCACUGGCCCGAUACUGACGCUGAGGCACGAAAGCGUGGGGAGCAAACAGGG